Molecule: long non-coding RNA, 863 nt
Organism: Eupeodes corollae
Lineage: Eukaryota; Metazoa; Arthropoda; Insecta; Diptera; Syrphidae
Exons: 2
Source: RefSeq, a predicted model, not a curated record
UUCUAUUUUGUUGGUAAGGAUUGUUUCGCUUUUGAACGCGGCCAUGAAACUUUCAAAUUCAAGCAAUGUUUUGCAUUAUUUCACGCACACUUUCCCACAUUUAGUUCUCAGUACCUUGUUGGCAAACCGAAAUGUCAGUCUGAGAUUCCCAUCUUGUUAAAUAAAUUUUUUUUAUUGUAGCUUAGCAAAAUGACAGCCAACGUUUCAUAUCGUUGUGUGAAAUAAUUCAAGAACGUUGACGUUUUGUGAAUAUGUCAAUCAACUAUGAUCUUAAUCAUUAUUAUAAUAUCAUAGGCAAAAGUGAAUCCAUUAGGGGAAGCUGCUUCCUAGCAAAACCAGCAUCAACUGCUUUAAAUUCCAAGUUUUUGGCAACAGGGAAAGAAAGUGUAAAGUUUAAAUAUUUGGACAGUUAAAAAAUAAGUACCUGGAAAUUAAAAUGAGUGCAAAAGCAAUAAUCAUCGCUACUGGGAUAGUUGUGUCAGCUGUGGCAGCGAUUGCUCAUUUUGUUUUUGAACGACGGAGAUAUUUAACAAACAACCCAAAUGCUACAAGAGAUAAUUUUACAACACAUAUAGAUCCUAUCUGCCCUAUUUGUCAGGAACCUAUGGAAGUGAAUAGUCGAAGUAUUUCCCUAUUGCCUUGUGGGCAUUAUCUACAUGAAGCCUGCUUAAAAGCUAUGAACAGGGCUAGAGGCGUAUAUGAUACAAAUAAGUGCCCAAUAUGCAGAACACCGUUUCCUUUUGAAUAAAAUUUUAUUUUGAUGUACCUUUCUAACUAACAAUUUUAUUAAAUUAGUAUAAAUAAUGUAGAUGUAGAAUAGUAUAUUGUUUUAAUUAUAGAUAAAACAUAUUUUUCCAUCAUAA